This 1058-nucleotide long non-coding RNA is filed under the name Danio rerio (zebrafish). RNAcentral describes it as "lncRNA (ENSDARG00000117455.1)". Lineage: Eukaryota; Metazoa; Chordata; Actinopteri; Cypriniformes; Danionidae. The record is from RNAcentral.
GGAAUAAUAUGAGGGCUGUAAAUAAAAGAAAGCAGGUUGUUGGAUGGAAAUAGCACAGAACGUUUCAUGCGCAGCAAUUUGUGAGUGAAAGUCGUUUCAAAGUAAAUCAUACGGCAUUAUUUCUUUGACUGAAAGCGUAUGAGCUUUAUGAUCAGAAACCAAGGUCAGAGAGCUGAUAGUAUUCUGCUGCUGUUUCAGGCAAAUGGCUCUGAAUGCAAAGCGUUUGUAUGACAGUCUGAGCCAAACUAGGCAGAUAUUAAAACCAAUGACUUCACUGGACUACACAAAUCAGAGAAGAGAUGUGUGUGUGUGUGUGUGUGUGUGCAUGUGUGUGUGUGUGUGUGUAGAGGUUAUAAGAUAAAGGGGGAACAGUACACAGAUCUGACCGGAUCUGACACACUACAUAGAGACAGAAGAGCGCCAUCAUGUGGACAACACAUGUGUAAACAGGAAACAGCAGCAGUUCUGUUUAUUAAUGUAACCUACGCACAAAACAACCUGACAGGAGAAUGUGCGCAGCUGAAGUCAUCCGGAUCCGCCUGACUUCUGCCUGCCCUUCAGACAGACACUCCUCGCUCCUCGCGGUUUUGUGUGAUCACCGGCCUGACAUUAAAGAGAUGCUGCAAGAAAAGAAAUGGGCUUAUCUGGAUGCGGGGCUGUAAGGGGAGAUGAUGUCCUCCGGGCCCUGGACAAGGUCAGGGACCGCGAAGGGCCACAGGGACACGCUGGAGAGCACGGAGGUAACAGUCUGUCAUGGACGAGGAGCCAGCCGAGUGUGUAACGACACGGGAACGAGACGCUGGCCACACAUUCACAUCACGGCGGAGGGGGAAAUCUUCCUCUGGCCUGCUGGCGGUGUGUUUUACAACAUGUGUAAAGUCUUCACCAGCUUGCAAGACAGGAGAUGUUUCUUCAGGGAUCACGGAAAAGCUGGAAAACACACCAGUUCUAAAGGCAGAACGAAAAGACUGUUUGAUGAUGACGACAUUAAGGGAGAGUUCACCCUCAACUCAAAUUUCUAUAUUCUACAGUGUAAAAAUGAUUGACUUUACUUAAAA